AUGGCAUUUACCCAUAGCCGCGAAUUCAAACAAGCACUGCUGAAGUAUGGAUUAGCCAAUUUCCAUCACCUACUUUUUCCAAAGGAUGAGAGGAAGAGGGUGAGUGCAAAGUGCAGUUGGCCUGGUUGUCCUUGA
This 135-nucleotide ribosomal RNA is filed under the name Triticum aestivum (bread wheat). RNAcentral describes it as "partial small subunit ribosomal RNA". Lineage: Eukaryota; Viridiplantae; Streptophyta; Magnoliopsida; Poales; Poaceae. The record is from RNAcentral.